This 66-nucleotide transfer RNA is filed under the name Chitinophagaceae bacterium. Its description in RNAcentral is "tRNA-Leu". It matches the Rfam family "tRNA", at positions 1 to 55 of the family's 71-position model. Rfam says of the family: Transfer RNA (tRNA) molecules are approximately 80 nucleotides in length. Their secondary structure includes four short double-helical elements and three loops (D, anti-codon, and T loops). Further hydrogen bonds mediate the characteristic L-shaped molecular structure. tRNAs have two regions of fundamental functional importance: the anti-codon, which is responsible for specific mRNA codon recognition, and the 3' end, to which the tRNAs corresponding amino acid is attached (by aminoacyl-tRNA synthetases). tRNAs cope with the degeneracy of the genetic code in two manners: having more than one tRNA (with a specific anti-codon) for a particular amino acid; and 'wobble' base-pairing, i.e. permitting non-standard base-pairing at the 3rd anti-codon position. The record is from RNAcentral. Lineage: Bacteria; Pseudomonadati; Bacteroidota; Chitinophagia; Chitinophagales; Chitinophagaceae.
GCGGGUGUGGCGAAAUUGGUAGACGUACCAGACUUAGGAUCUGGCGCCGCGAGGCAUGGGGGUUCG